UCCCUGGUGGCUCAGACGGUAAAGACUCUGCCUGCAAUGCAGGAGACCCAAGUUCAAUCCUUGGAUAAGGAA
RNAcentral lists this transfer RNA (72 nucleotides) under Ovis aries (sheep). It matches the Rfam family "tRNA". Rfam says of the family: Transfer RNA (tRNA) molecules are approximately 80 nucleotides in length. Lineage: Eukaryota; Metazoa; Chordata; Mammalia; Artiodactyla; Bovidae. The record is from Rfam by way of RNAcentral.